UAAGGACUCGGCUUUCGCGAAGGCUGCUGGGGCGCGGAUGUCGGGGACGCGCAGGAGCGCGCUCAGCUGGAAGGAUGCGCUUUUCUGGUCGCGCGCGACGGAACCGGGACUCUUGAGUGGAAACCGAAGACGCGCGAGGGAGGAACGUGUGGAGCAUGAAGAGGCAGGCGGGCUCCUCGGAGCGGAAACGGGCGCGGAUACCGUCUGGGAAGGCCGGAGCAACAAAUGGAUUUCUUAUGGAAGUGUGUGUGGAUUCAGUGGAAUCAGCUAUAAACGCAGAAAGAGGAGGUGCUGGUCGGAUUGAAUUAUGUUCUGGUUUAUUGGAAGGAGGAACCACACCCAGCAUGGGUAUCCUUCAAGUGGUGAAACAGUGUGUCCAGAUCCCAGUUUUUGUGAUGAUUCGGCCACGCGGAGGUGAUUUUUUAUAUUCAGAUCGUGAAGUUGAGGUGAUGAAGGCCGACAUUGGUCUUGCCAAACUUUAUGGUGCUGAUGGUUUGGUAUUUGGGGCAUUGACUGAAGAUGGACACAUUGACAAAGAGCUGUGCAUGUCCCUUAUGGCUCUUUGCCGUCCUCUGCCAGUCACUUUCCACCGAGCCUUUGACAUGGUUCAUGAUCCAAUGGCAGCUCUAGAGACUCUCUUAACUUUGGGAUUUGAACGAGUAUUGACCAGUGGAUGUGACAGUUCUGCACUAGAAGGGCUGCCUCUCAUAAAGCGACUCAUAGAUCAGUUCUUUUGGGAAGCACUGCUUGCAGGCAGUUCCAGCAAAAGGCAGAAUUGUGGUAAUGCCAGGGGGUGGUAUAACAGACAGAAAUCUACAAAGGGUCCUUGAGGGUUCGGGUGCCACAGAAUUCCACUGUUCUGCUCGGUCUGCUAGAGAUUCAGGAAUGAAGUUUCGAAAUUUCUCUGUUGCCAUGGGAGCCUCUCUUUCUAGCUCAGAAUAUUCUCUGAAGGUAACAGAUGUGACCCAAGUAAGGACUUUGAAUGCUAUUGCAAAGAAUAUUCUGGUGUAGCCAAACCUCUCUGAGAUAGAUGCAUGUCCCAGGAUGGAGGCAGAGGAGUAAUCUACAAUUCUCUGUGACACAACUUUAACCUUCUUCUCUGGCCAGGACAGUAACAGUCUUUGUUUUAAGUCUCACAUGGCCGUGGAGGAUGUUUCCAAGAAGAAAACGAACUUGAAACAGAGCUACAAUGACUCCCUUUGCUUAAUCUCGCCAGCUGUCUCCAUCAUCAUGGUUAAAUCUCAUCUAUGCUUCUUCCUCAGACAGAGGCUUAGUCUGUCUUAAUUGAUGAACUGAGAAAAUUCAACUGCAAGGCAUUAAUUCAAAGUGUGACUUCUGGGUCAGUUUCAUAGAAGUAUUUUGCUGUUUCAUUUGU
RNA transcript from Rhinolophus ferrumequinum (greater horseshoe bat), 1375 nucleotides. It is a transcript of the gene named cutC copper transporter, with no coding region annotated. Lineage: Eukaryota; Metazoa; Chordata; Mammalia; Chiroptera; Rhinolophidae. The transcript is spliced from 11 exons. The record is from RefSeq and is a predicted model, not a curated record.